CCAUCGGUGGUUCAGUGGUAGAAUGCUCGCCACCCACGCGGGCGGCCCGGGUUCGAUUCCCGGCCGAUGCA
Molecule: transfer RNA, 71 nt
Filed under: Cordylochernes scorpioides
Lineage: Eukaryota; Metazoa; Arthropoda; Arachnida; Pseudoscorpiones; Chernetidae
Description: tRNA-Gly
Rfam family: tRNA
About the family: Transfer RNA (tRNA) molecules are approximately 80 nucleotides in length. Their secondary structure includes four short double-helical elements and three loops (D, anti-codon, and T loops).
Source: RNAcentral